UCCACAUAUCUCUCUGCCGUCCGAUCUCUCAAACACCAACCUGUAAAUUCAUCAACAAAGCGCGCCAAAUACAAAAAAAUUUAACUUCAUUUUCUUCGUCUUCUCUGCUCAUCGACAAAGCAAACGAACAGAAAAUUGAACAAAAUUCAGAAAAAAAUUCUGAUCCGGUCAACUGUUGAGUUAGCAGCUAAGGGUUUGUGUAGUAGUGUUGUUGAGUAUGGCGGAAGUUCCGGCGAGUCCAGGAGGUGGUUGUGGAAGCCAUGAAAGUGGAGGUGAACGGAGUCCUCAAUCGAAUGUGAGGGAACCGGAUAGGUACCUUCCGAUAGCAAAUAUUGGUCGUAUUAUGAAAAAGGCAUUGCCUGCUAAUGCUAAGAUAGCUAAGGAUGCGAAAGAUACUGUUCAGGAAUGUGUUUCUGAGUUCAUCAGCUUCAUCACCAGCGAGGCAAGUGACAAGUGUCAAAAAGAGAAGAGAAAGACGAUUAAUGGAGAUGAUUUGGUAUGGGCAUUGACCACCUUAGGAUUUGAGGACUACAUUGAGCCACUAAAGGCCUAUGUGAUUAGGUACAGAGAGAUGGAGGUAUGCAUUGCUUCCCCGCAUCAAUGAUAUAGAGUUGUUUAUUUUCUUUACCUCUGAUAUGUCACUAGCCAUGCCGUGGGGAUUGUUUCUAAUGUCAGGGAGACGUCAAGGGAUCUGCUAGGGCUGGAGAUACGUCUGCUAGAAAAGAUAUAGUUGGUGGUCAGCUCGGUUCCAGUACACAGUUUGUCUAUGAUGGGUCUUUUACACAAGGCUUAGACUAUGGGAACUCCCAAAUGUGAUAAAGGAUUAUAGUUUGGACAAUGGGUAGAUUAAAAGUGGUGUUCAUCGAGCUUGCUACCUCUCAAAAAGAGAGGGGUGGGGGAGAUGGUCGCCUACCUCUCAACAGCGUGUAUUAAGAAUUACAACGGUGCAGAUGCGAGUAUCUUCUGCCUUCCGGUCUUGAUGAUCUAUGUACUAAGCCAAUCAAUGUUAUGCUGAUAGUAUUUGUUUGAAAGCUGAAUUAACAGGACCGUUUCAACAAGUUUGGGGGCCUAAAGCGAAACUUCAUAGAGAGACCUUUUUCUUUUAGUUGUUAAAUUGAAUAACUAUAACAUACUCAAUGUAAUCCUAUAAGUGAAGUCUCGAGAAGGUAGGAUGCACAUAGACCUUAUGAAAUAAAAAUGUUAACAAUGAAAAUAUUCAAUGAAGAAAGUU
This is an RNA transcript of Solanum dulcamara, 1231 nucleotides long. It is a transcript of the gene named nuclear transcription factor Y subunit B-1-like, with no coding region annotated. The record is from RefSeq and is a predicted model, not a curated record. The transcript has 7 exons. NCBI's taxonomy places the organism in Eukaryota, Viridiplantae, Streptophyta, Magnoliopsida, Solanales, Solanaceae.